AUUGAACGCUGGCGGCAGGCCUAACACAUGCAAGUCGAGCGGUAGAGAGAAGCUUGCUUCUCUUGAGAGCGGCGGACGGGUGAGUAAUGCCUAGGAAUCUGCCUAGUGGUGGGGGAUAACGUUCGGAAACGGACGCUAAUACCGCAUACGUCCUACGGGAGAAAGCGGGGGGAUCUUCGGACCUCGCGCCAUUAGAUGAGCCUAGGUCGGAUUAGCUAGUUGGUGAGGUAAUGGCUCACCAAGGCGACGAUCCGUAACUGGUCUGAGAGGAUGAUCAGUCACACUGGAACUGAGACACGGUCCAGACUCCUACGGGAGGCAGCAGUGGGGAAUAUUGGACAAUGGGCGAAAGCCUGAUCCAGCCAUGCCGCGUGUGUGAAGAAGGCCUUCGGGUUGUAAAGCACUUUCAGCGAGGAGGAAGGGAGUUGUGUUAAUAGCACAGCUUCUUGACGUUACUCGCAGAAGAAGCACCGGCUAACUCUGUG
Molecule: ribosomal RNA, 485 nt
Filed under: uncultured bacterium
Lineage: Bacteria
Description: bacterial SSU rRNA
Rfam family: Bacterial small subunit ribosomal RNA
Source: RNAcentral